GAGGGCACAGCUCCAUCACAGCAUCACCUGACAUUUGAAUCCGCUUGUGAGAAAGACAAGCUAUGAAUGCAUUAAAACCUGGAACAGGACACGGGUCUGGCAGAAUUCCUUAUCUAUGAAAUUUGUGUGUGAUCUUGAUCAUGUCAAUAGAAAUCUAAAUUGUAAAAGCCCCGUCAUGAUAAGUUUAAUGUUCUGAUCACAUUGAAUUCUUUUCUGCAACCACCUUAAAAUUUAAUAUACAUCAUAUUAAGGUGGUUACAAUCACAUGGCUCGAAAGGAAAAGCAGAAAAGAGUGACAAGACCCAGAGGAAUCUCAUACAAACAUGUAGUUAUUUCUAGUUUUGAUUUAGAUCAUGGAACCAAAGUUCGGGUUACUUGGAUUUCCAAUCUGCUUAUUUUUGAACAUCAAAAACA
This 414-nucleotide unclassified non-coding RNA is filed under the name Hevea brasiliensis (rubber tree). The record is from RNAcentral. Lineage: Eukaryota; Viridiplantae; Streptophyta; Magnoliopsida; Malpighiales; Euphorbiaceae.